UAUUUUCCAAAUCUACAGGGAGCCGCAGCAGAGGGAUGAAAGAGCCACUUGUGGCCCCAGAGCCGUGGGUUGCUGACCCCUGGUGUAUAAAUCUACUCAAUAACACCUGCCUUAAGCUUCUUAUUGGUUCAAACAUAAACUCAAGCUGCAGUGAUAGAUAUCUCUAAAAAAUACAGACAUGUUUAAAAGAUGAGAAGGUUCUCUCAUAUAAGAAUCCAUCCCAUUUUGACCCUAAGAUAAGGAGUGUCUCUAUGCAAAUGUCCUUCUCUGUUAUAUAUUUAAGCAACAAAGACCAAGAGCUUUUACUUCUUCUGCUCCAACACACACCAUGAUCUCUACAUCCCUACUGCUGCUGCUGCUGGCAGCCGUACACUGUGUUCACAGUGUUGAGCUGAUCCAGACCGGAUCCACAGUAUUAACUCCUGGUCAGUCACUGACUCUGACCUGUAAAGUGUCUGGAUAUUCAUUAACUGAUAGAAGCUAUUGUACAUACUGGAUACGACAACCUGCAGGAAAAACUCUGGAAUGGAUCGGAAGGAUAUGUGGUAGUGGUAACACUUACUUCAGUGAGAAACUGAAAAGCAGGUUUCAGGUUACCAGAGACACGUCCAGCAGCACAGUGACAUUAACAGGACAAAACAUGCAGACUGAAGACACAGCUGUGUAUUACUGCACUCGUGAACCACACAGUGAGAGGAAUAAACAACAUCCCUGUACAAAAACUCCUCAUUCAGUGUUCACAAUAACAGGACACAAGACACAACACUUAUGUAUACAAAUCUUAGAAAAUGUAAAAUAAAUAAAUAAACAAACAAUCAAACAACAAACAAACAAAUACAUAAAUAAAAUCCACAAAUGAGAACAAAAAGAUUAAAGUUAGUUCAUUUUUUUUAUAUAAUCCUAAUAUGGAUUUUAAACCAUAAUACAAAAUUUCUGAUGUUACUGCACAUGAUACACACUGUAAUAAUCAUAUCACUAUCAAGGAUUAGUUGCAGUUCCUCUCCGUUACAUCCUCAUGACUCCCACAUGUUUUCUAUCAUGACAUCACGAUGCAAAUCCAGACUGCUGUGUGUCCAUGCAGUAUUUAUGUGCAGCUGAGCUGAGUGGAGAGAUCGAGUCUCAUCAACACUCACCAUGAAGAUCCCACUCUCCUUAUUCCUGCUACUA
Non-coding RNA from Tachysurus fulvidraco (yellow catfish), 1167 nucleotides. The record is from the annotation of a RefSeq genome assembly. Lineage: Eukaryota; Metazoa; Chordata; Actinopteri; Siluriformes; Bagridae.